AUGAAGAAGUUCAUCAAAUCUCAAGUACAAUCUUGCUUGGUGUGUCGGCAAGCUAAACCAGAGAGGGUCCAGUACCCUGGGUUAUUAUCUCCUCUGCCAGUGCCUGCUAAAGCUUGGGAUACAGUGUCCAUGGAUUUUAUAUCUGGUCUUCCUACAUCAUUCCAAUAUGAUUGUAUACUUGUGGUGAUUGACAAGUUCUCUGAGUAUGGCCAUUUCAUACCUCUCUCACAUCCCUUCAAGGCUCAGAAAGUGGCUGAUGUUUUCCUUGAUAAUGUUUACAAAUUACAUGGUAUGCCCAGGUUGAUCAUCUGUGAUAGGGACCCUAUAUUCACUAGCUCAUUCUGGCAGCUGCUUAUAUCAAGAACUGGGGCUGAACUAAAUAUGAGCGCAACAUAUCACCCGGAGACUGAUGGGCAGACUAAACGAGUAAAUCAACAAGUAGAAUGUUUCCUGAGGUGUUUCAUCAAUGCUCAUCUUACUAAGUGGAGCAAGUGGCUGUCACUAUGUAAAUUCUGGUACAAUAACAACUGGUACUCUGCACUGAAUAAACCCCCCUUUGAGAUCAUAUAUGGACAUACUCCUCGUUUCUUUGGAAUAUCUUCUUCAGAUACAAUUGCUCCAGUGGAUAUUCAAUCUUGGUUGUACUCAAGGCAGUUGAUGAUUGAUUCAGUCAGACAGGAUUUGUUGCGUGUGCAACAGAGAAUGAAGCACCAGGCAGAUAAGAAAAGAACUGAAAGAGUUUUCGCUGUUGAUGAUGUCGUGUUCCUUACACUACAGCCCUAUGUGCAAUCGUCAGUCGUCAGAAGGGCUAACCAUAAUCCUUCAAGUUUUUUGGACCUUACAAGAUCAUAG
Molecule: ribosomal RNA, 852 nt
Filed under: Triticum aestivum (bread wheat)
Lineage: Eukaryota; Viridiplantae; Streptophyta; Magnoliopsida; Poales; Poaceae
Description: partial small subunit ribosomal RNA
Source: RNAcentral